Long non-coding RNA from Pogoniulus pusillus (Red-fronted tinkerbird), 1426 nucleotides. RefSeq lists it as uncharacterized. The record is from RefSeq and is a predicted model, not a curated record. NCBI's taxonomy places the organism in Eukaryota, Metazoa, Chordata, Aves, Piciformes, Lybiidae. The transcript has 2 exons.
CGUCGGAAUCUUCGUGUGGUCUCUUCACAGUCUUGUUGAGCAUAGUGUUGUUUUCCACAGGGCCGUUGCCUUCCACAGCUAUUUCAGACCUGAAAACAAACAGGAGGUGGCAGGAGCUUCAUGAGAACUACAGCUGCUGGUGGAACAGGAAAUACACCUCCCGGGACGGGAUGUAAACCUGGAGCUGUGGGAAGAAAAUCUGAGUGAAACCAGUGCAAAAGAGCUAGACUUCAAUUACUUGUGCAGCAUUAUUAGCUGGUGCAAAUAAUGACUACCCUGUCACUUUUGCCUCUAGUAAUUACAUAUUGCUUACUCAUUGAUCCGAAGCCUGCGAGCAGUGUGUGUAACAGCUAAUUACUGUUUACCAGACCCCAAACUACUUGUACUUAUUUCCAUGUGACCUUAGUAUUAAGUAAAAUAUAUGUGCCUAAAGCAAACCAAUGCACUAACAGCCUAGAAUUUACGUACAGGUGUAGAUGACUGAAGACUAGGAAAGUCUCUGUGAUUAGAUUCACUAAACAAACAGGUUCAUAACUUGCCUUCAGGUGAAGUACAGCCACUUCUGACAACCUCUGACUUACGUGCUAAGUGUCUUGGCUGAAAUGGAAUCAUUUGCUGAGUGUCCGGUUUUGGAUAUUCAGGUUUUCUGUCUACUUCAUCUUUGAGAACAGGCACAAUGGAAGGUGCAACCACAGGGUCUGGAAUUAUAGCUGCCAGCUUGGCACGGGAGACAUCCUGCAAAAGGCAAUUAGCAAGGACUGAAUUUGGCAGGAUCACAUUGUUUGUUGAAAUUACAGAAUAAAACCUCUCUCUACACCAGUUGCUUAUUCUCACUUUGUCAUCGUUAUAAUUUCAGAUGUCCUCUUAAGACCAUCUGGACUCAACUUGCACAUUUCCAUCAAACAUUUAUUCCUACAGUGUCCCAGCUGGGAGUGGAAACAUUUGGUUUUGUUACUGAAUGGGAUCAUAUCUGUCAUUUCUGAGGGGCUCCCUUUUUUAGGUUAAAAAGGUUUAGGUGAACAGGUGCAGACCACUAGGCCUUCACAACUAUCAAUUCUCCUUCAUUUCAUUCCCUAGAUGGCUUUAGCUGGAGAAGAAAUAAAGCAUAAGGAAGUCAGCAGGCAUGCAAAGCAUCAGUUCAAAGAGGAUUACAUUUUGGCAUGUUAAAAGCAACAGAAAUCAGCCCAAGGGCUGAACCGUUUUGGGUACACCCUGCCUCACAGCAGGACCUACUCUCCUGGAAGCACACCUGUGACUUGCAAACUGUCUGAAGAGAAGUACUCAGUGGGUCAGUGAAUUAUUUCCACCUACCAGGUUAUUUUAGCACUGUGUGAAGGCCAACAACUCAGCUGCUUUGCUAACUUUGACGAGUUCUUUCUUUAUUAAAAUUACUUUCCUGAGUAAUAAAUGGAAGCUGAGAUGCUAA